UACAGGAGGUCCCGAGCGUUGUUCGGAUUCAUGGCGUAAAGGGCGUGUAGGCGGUCAGGUAAGUGGGAUGUGAAAUGCCCCCGGCUCACCCGGGGACCGGCAUCCCAUACUGCUUGGCUUGAGUACGGGAGAGGAUGUGGGAAUUCCUGGUGUAGCGGUGAAAUGCGUAGAUAUCAGGAGGAACACCGGUGGCGAAGGCGGCCUGCUGGGCAGUUGCUGACACUGAGGCGCGACAGCGUGGGGAGCAAACAGG
RNAcentral lists this ribosomal RNA (253 nucleotides) under uncultured bacterium. RNAcentral describes it as "partial 16S ribosomal RNA". It matches the Rfam family "Bacterial small subunit ribosomal RNA", at positions 524 to 776 of the family's 1533-position model. The record is from RNAcentral.